RNAcentral lists this ribosomal RNA (253 nucleotides) under uncultured bacterium. Its description in RNAcentral is "partial 16S ribosomal RNA". It matches the Rfam family "Bacterial small subunit ribosomal RNA", at positions 524 to 776 of the family's 1533-position model. RNAcentral also lists the same sequence under 1 other name. The record is from RNAcentral.
UACGGAGGGUGCAAGCGUUAUCCGGAUUUACUGGGUUUAAAGGGUGUGUAGGCGGGCCUUUAAGUCCGUGGUGAAAUACCAGUGCUUAACACUGGAACUGCCAUGGAUACUAUUGGUCUUGAAUGUUGAUGAGGUGGGCGGAAUGUAUCAUGUAGCGGUGAAAUGCUUAGAUAUGAUACAGAACACCGAUUGCGAAGGCAGCUCACUAAACAACGAUUGACGCUGAGGCACGAAAGCGUGGGGAUCAAACAGG